UACGUAGGGGGCGAGCGUUGUCCGGAUUUAUUGGGCGUAAAGAGCGUGUAGGCGGCUAGGUAGGUCCGCUGUGAAAACUCGAGGCUCAACCUCGAGACGUCGGUGGAAACCAUCUGGCUAGAGUCCGGAAGAGGAGAGUGGAAUUCCCGGUGUAGCGGUGAAAUGCGCAGAUAUCGGGAAGAAUAUCCGUGGCGAAGGCGGCUCUCUGGUACGGAACUGACGCUGAGACGCGAAAGCGUGGGGAGCGAACAGG
Molecule: ribosomal RNA, 253 nt
Filed under: uncultured bacterium
Lineage: Bacteria
Description: partial 16S ribosomal RNA
Rfam family: Bacterial small subunit ribosomal RNA
Source: RNAcentral